CAGCCGCCGCGGUAAUACGUAGGUGGCAAGCGUUGUCCGGAAUUAUUGGGCGUAAAGGGCUCGCAGGCGGUUUCUUAAGUCUGAUGUGAAAGCCCCCGGCUCAACCGGGGAGGGUCAUUGGAAACUGGGAAACUUGAGUGCAGAAGAGGAGAGUGGAAUUCCACGUGUAGCGGUGAAAUGCGUAGAGAUGUGGAGGAACACCAGUGGCGAAGGCGACUCUCUGGUCUGUAACUGACGCUGAGGAGCGAAAGCGUAGGGAGCGAACAGGAUUAGAUACCCCGGUAGUCCCUGUCUCUUAUAA
Molecule: ribosomal RNA, 301 nt
Filed under: uncultured bacterium
Lineage: Bacteria
Description: partial 16S ribosomal RNA
Rfam family: Bacterial small subunit ribosomal RNA
Source: RNAcentral